RNAcentral lists this non-coding RNA (155 nucleotides) under Lotharella oceanica. The record is from RNAcentral. Lineage: Eukaryota; Cercozoa; Chlorarachniophyceae.
AAUAAAAUAAAAUAAAUAAAUAAAUAAGUAAGUUCUAAUAUCACAAGGACAACAAAAGUAGGUUCGAAAAGUUAAGAUGGAAGAGCAAAUUUUGGUGGUGGAGGGGGAUUCCUACAUUUUUUGUUUUUUGUUUUUUUGUUGUCUCCUAGUGUGGG